CUGAGUGAGGGCCCUCUGGGUCCAACCUCCCACCCGUGUUUAUUGUACCUUGUUGCUUCGGCGGGCCCGCCUCACGGCCGCCGGGGGGCACCUGCCCCCGGGCCCGCGCCCGCCGAAGACACCAUUGAACUCUGUCUGAAGAUUGCAGUCUGAGCAGAUUAGCUAAAUCAGUUA
RNAcentral lists this unclassified non-coding RNA (174 nucleotides) under uncultured fungus. Its description in RNAcentral is "sequence contains ITS1, 5.8S rRNA gene". Lineage: Eukaryota; Fungi. The record is from RNAcentral.